This is a long non-coding RNA of Lolium perenne, 933 nucleotides long. RefSeq lists it as uncharacterized. NCBI's taxonomy places the organism in Eukaryota, Viridiplantae, Streptophyta, Magnoliopsida, Poales, Poaceae. The record is from RefSeq and is a predicted model, not a curated record.
GAUUAUGCAUGAUUUGUCAACCUGAUGAGCUACUUUAAGGUGUAUUCAUACAAACUGAUUUAGGUUAAUACUUUCUCAUAAUAUUGGUGAUUCGGCAUUACCUAUGCUUUCCAGAUAUGGUUCGCAUGAUUUCUAGGUUUCAUUAGAUUUGUUGAUUCAGUUAUAGGUUUGUUGCUUGGGAAAAUGCAACAGGAUAAUACUGUGUAAGACUGUUAUCCUUUUGAUGAAAACACAUGGAAAGGAUGAAAGUACUGAUAAUGUAUAGAUUCUUCAUAUCUGUAUGUUGAAUUCUUCAGCACGGUGGUUGUAAUAAUUCAAAUAAAGUUUUUGUGCUACACGAUCGUUCCCUUGUGGCAACGUUAUUCUUCUAAUCUGUUGUGGAUUUCAGACGACCAGGACGCCCACAGCGCUGGCCUCUGUGCCACCUGCCGCCGUUGUCGUCAGCGCGGUCCAAGGCAAGGCUCCGUUAGUGGAGGAUGAUGUCCCGGCAGUGGGGGCACUGGUGUGGCUGCACUGCCCAAACGGGUCAUGUGGGCAGCUGCCCCGCGCCGCCCAAGUCAUCCAAGGCCGCCAUCCUACUCCUCGACCGUGGCGAUGAACCAACUUUCGUGAUCCGCUUGAUACAAACAAGGUUAGCGGACUGAGUGUAUUAUGUUUUAGUGGUCAUGUGGUAGGUUUAUAUGUACUAUUUGAGGCAACAAUUCUCAUGGGCCUCUACAUAAUAAGAAUUAACGAUUUGAAUUAACUUACCUUUACAAGAGGAGCUGGUGGUUAUAUCAUAGGUUUAUGGGGUCAAAUUCUUGAGAUUAUGUCCACUCUCAUGUUUACUGAUAAACGGGGCACUACUCUUUAGUUAUCUGGUUCUAGGAUUUAUUCAGGUUUAUGUGGUGAACUUCCUGAAAUUAUGUCAACUUCCCUUUUUAGUGAUGAACA